Molecule: ribosomal RNA, 324 nt
Filed under: uncultured eukaryote
Lineage: Eukaryota
Description: partial 18S ribosomal RNA
Rfam family: Eukaryotic small subunit ribosomal RNA
Source: RNAcentral
CCCUUAGAUGUCCUGGGCUGCACGCGCGCUACACUGAUGUGUCCAGUAAGCACCUAACCUCUUCCGAAAGGAACGGGUAACCUUUGCAAAGCACAUCGUGAUGGGGAUAGAUUAUUGCAAUUAUUAGUCUUGAACGAGGAAUUCCUAGUAAGCACAAGUCAUCAGCUUGUGUUGAUUACGUCCCUGCCCUUUGUACACACCGCCCGUCGCUCCUACCGAUUGAAUGUUCCGGUGAGCUCUUCGGACUGCGCGGUCUGCAGUUUCUGCGUUCCGUGCGGAAAGUUGCGCAAACCUUAUCAGUUAGAGGAAGGAGAAGUCGUAACA